AACAAUGGCUUCUCAUCAUCAGAUUGUGAGGAGAGCAUUGUUUCAUCUCCAGUUGUUGACCCAAUUCCACAACAACCUCAAUUGCCACCAGCAGUAGCUCCUCAAGCAACAAUAGAGGUGGUGCCUCAAAAGCCUUUACCUGAAAAGGGAAAGCUUUUGCAGGCAGUGAUGAAAGCUGGUCCUCUCUUGCAGACUCUUCUUCUAGCUGG
RNAcentral lists this unclassified non-coding RNA (209 nucleotides) under Hevea brasiliensis (rubber tree). The record is from RNAcentral. Lineage: Eukaryota; Viridiplantae; Streptophyta; Magnoliopsida; Malpighiales; Euphorbiaceae.